This 700-nucleotide ribosomal RNA is filed under the name Klebsiella pneumoniae. Its description in RNAcentral is "bacterial SSU rRNA". It matches the Rfam family "Bacterial small subunit ribosomal RNA", at positions 46 to 737 of the family's 1533-position model. Lineage: Bacteria; Pseudomonadati; Pseudomonadota; Gammaproteobacteria; Enterobacterales; Enterobacteriaceae. The record is from RNAcentral.
GCCUAACACAUGCAAGUCGAGCGGUAGCACAGAGAGCUUGCUCUCGGGUGACGAGCGGCGGACGGGUGAGUAAUGUCUGGGAAACUGCCUGAUGGAGGGGGAUAACUACUGGAAACGGUAGCUAAUACCGCAUAAUGUCGCAAGACCAAAGUGGGGGACCUUCGGGCCUCAUGCCAUCAGAUGUGCCCAGAUGGGAUUAGCUAGUAGGUGGGGUAACGGCUCACCUAGGCGACGAUCCCUAGCUGGUCUGAGAGGAUGACCAGCCACACUGGAACUGAGACACGGUCCAGACUCCUACGGGAGGCAGCAGUGGGGAAUAUUGCACAAUGGGCGCAAGCCUGAUGCAGCCAUGCCGCGUGUGUGAAGAAGGCCUUCGGGUUGUAAAGCACUUUCAGCGGGGAGGAAGGCGAUGAGGUUAAUAACCUCAUCGAUUGACGUUACCCGCAGAAGAAGCACCGGCUAACUCCGUGCCAGCAGCCGCGGUAAUACGGAGGGUGCAAGCGUUAAUCGGAAUUACUGGGCGUAAAGCGCACGCAGGCGGUCUGUCAAGUCGGAUGUGAAAUCCCCGGGCUCAACCUGGGAACUGCAUUCGAAACUGGCAGGCUAGAGUCUUGUAGAGGGGGGUAGAAUUCCAGGUGUAGCGGUGAAAUGCGUAGAGAUCUGGAGGAAUACCGGUGGCGAAGGCGGCCCCCUGGACAAA